GCCACAAAGAUCAGAGAGAACCAAGAAAGUGUUGAUUGACACAGGGCCAUUGUAUUUCAAGCCAACAACGAUGCAACUGAGGUGGUUCUAAACAAGCUCCAUGCUCCGCUGCUGACAAGGUUUGUUAGAAUCCGCCCUCAGACCUGGCACUCAGGUAUCGCCCUCCGGCUGGAGCUCUUCGGCUGCCGGGUCACAGAUGCUCCCUGCUCCAACAUGCUGGGGAUGCUCUCAGGCCUCAUUGCAGACUCCCAGAUCUCCGCCUCUUCCACCCAGGAAUACCUCUGGAGCCCCAGUGCAGCCCGCCUGGUCAGCAGCCGCUCGGGCUGGUUCCCUCGAAUCCCUCAGGCCCAGCCCGGUGAGGAGUGGCUUCAGGUAGAUCUGGGAACACCCAAGACAGUGAAAGGUGUCAUCAUUCAGGGAGCCCGCGGAGGAGACAGUAUCACUGCCGUGGAAGCCAGAGCGUUUGUGCGCAAGUUCAAAGUCUCCUACAGCCUAAACGGCAAAGACUGGGAAUACAUUCAGGAACCCAGGACCCAGCAGCCAAAGGUAGGCUGUUCUUGGAGGCCUCUGUAACGUUACCCUCAACAGGGAGGCUAAGUGGGGUACAGGGAGUUGAGAAUGAUGAUGUCCCAUCUAAACAGUCGUCAUCCAACUCCUGAAAUCCAAUAAAACAAAUAUCAUUUGAGA
This 687-nucleotide small RNA is filed under the name Pongo abelii (Sumatran orangutan). Its description in RNAcentral is "processed transcript". The record is from RNAcentral. Lineage: Eukaryota; Metazoa; Chordata; Mammalia; Primates; Hominidae.